RNAcentral lists this ribosomal RNA (492 nucleotides) under uncultured bacterium. RNAcentral's name for it is "partial 16S ribosomal RNA". It matches the Rfam family "Bacterial small subunit ribosomal RNA", at positions 29 to 507 of the family's 1533-position model. The record is from RNAcentral.
AGUGAACGCUGGCGGUAGGCCUAACACAUGCAAGUCGAACGGCAGCACAGUAAGAGCUUGCUCUUACGGGUGGCGAGUGGCGGACGGGUGAGGAAUACAUCGGAAUCUACUUUUACGUGGGGGAUAACGUAGGGAAACUUACGCUAAUACCGCAUACGACCUACGGGUGAAAGCAAGGGAUCUUCGGACCUUGCGCGAUUGAAUGAGCCGAUGUCGGAUUAGCUAGUUGGCGGGGUAAAGGCCCACCAAGGCGACGAUCCGUAGCUGGUCUGAGAGGAUGAUCAGCCACACUGGAACUGAGACACGGUCCAGACUCCUACGGGAGGCAGCAGUGGGGAAUAUUGGACAAUGGGCGCAAGCCUGAUCCAGCCAUACCGCGUGGGUGAAGAAGGCCUUCGGGUUGUAAAGCCCUUUUGUUGGGAAAGAAAAGCAGCAGGUUAAUACCCCGCUGUUCUGACGGUACCCAAAGAAUAAGCACCGGCUAACUUCGUG